GCAGUCGAGCGAGGCCUGGGGGGCAACUCCCAGAGUCGAGCGGCGGACGGGUGAGUAACACGUGGGUAACCUGCCCGGAAGUGGGGAAUACCUCGGGGAAACUCGAGCUAAUUCCGCAUGACAUCUCCGGGACGAAAGUCCUGGCGAUCAAAGCGGGGUCGCAAGACCUCGCGCUACCGGAUGGGCCCGCGCCCGAUUAGCUAGUUGGUGAGGUAACGGCUCACCAAGGCUUCGAUCGGUAACCGGCCUGAGAGGGCGAUCGGUCACACCGGAACUGAGACACGGUCCGGACUCCUACGGGAGGCAGCAGUGGGGAAUCUUGCGCAAUGGGCGAAAGCCUGACGCAGCAACGCCGCGUGGAGGAUGAAGGCCCUUGGGUUGUAAACUCCUGUCGGCUGGGAAGAAAUCGCUCGUGGUUAAUACCCACGGGCGUUGACUGUACCAGCAAAGGAAGCCCCGGCUAACUCUGUGCCAGCAGCCGCGGUAAUACAGAGGGGGCCAGCGUUAUUCGGAAUUAUUGGGCGUAAAGGGCGCGUAGGCGGCCAUGCGUGUCUUCCGUGAAAUCCCUCGGCUUAACUGAGGACGUGCGGAAGAAACUGCAAGGCUCGAGUCCGGGAGAGGGGGGGUGGAAUUCCCAGUGUAGCGGUGAAAUGCGUAGAUUUUGGGAGGAACACCGGUGGCGAAGGCGGCCCCCUGGACCGGUACUGACGCUGAUGCGCGAAAGCGUGGGUAGCAAACGGGAUUAGAUACCCCGGUAGUCCACGCCGUAAACGAUGGGCACUUGGUGUCGCGGGUAUCGACCCCUGCGGUGCCAAAGCUAACGCAUUAAG
RNAcentral lists this ribosomal RNA (830 nucleotides) under uncultured Bacillota bacterium. RNAcentral describes it as "bacterial SSU rRNA". It matches the Rfam family "Bacterial small subunit ribosomal RNA", at positions 57 to 864 of the family's 1533-position model. The record is from RNAcentral. Lineage: Bacteria; Bacillati; Bacillota.